CAUAUACAGUUAGCCAAACCCAAGUUUCUCCAUUACCGUUGGAGGCAGCUGUCUCAAAGAACAACAAUCUUUGCCAGGCCUAUACUGUGAGAGGUUUUAUUUUCUCUCUGUGGAAGAGGGACAUGGAAAAGACUGACCUUGUUUUGUCUAGGCAAAGGGGUACAAUCAAUUUUCCAGCGUCCAGCAGCUUUGUCCACGGUCUCGGCCAGGUUCUGGCAGGCGGCAGGUUUUAUAUCUGAGCAUCUCGCUCACUGGUCCAGGUGCGGGAACCGAGGUGCCUCGUAAUCUUUUGGAGAUUUUGGGUCAUUGUCAGGAUCUGGCAGUCUGUCUGACAUUAAAAACUUUAAAGAUAACAAUUUAAAUGCCAUAUUCUGAAGAUUUCUGAAGCAUUAGAGGUCUGUUUGUCUGUUUUAAUUACUUGCCUUAAGCAUACAUUAAGUAUCUACAGGUGGCUAGGUAAGGUCUUAUUUCUGUAAAUAAUUAGCACCUGCUCUAGAGAGGUACAGGUGAUGCAAGGCCAGGGCAGGCACAUCUAAGUGCCAGGAUUCCUUAAACAGUAGCUUAACUUCUUUCUUAGGCAGGGUUUUUCUGUGACUUGUAACAACCUUUUCUCUGACCUUUGACAACUUUCCUCUGACCUUUUAUAAUUUUCCUCUGACCUUUUACAACUUUCCUCUGACCUUCUGCAACUUGCUUUAACCCUCUGUAACUUUCUGUGACCUCCAACAACUUGCUUUAACCCUCUGUAACUUUUACCGCUUGCUUUAAUUCUCUAUAACCUUUUAUAACAAUCUUUUCUGCUAUGACUUGCUUUAAUCCUCUAUAACCUCCUAGUUCAUUUCUCUGACUCUCUUAGACAUUUUUAGACAAGUUUUCUUUUUUUUUCUUUCCCUUUUUAUUAUUUAUGUCUCCUAUAUUUUUUUUUUCAGUUAACGUCAAAAUUUUAUCAAAGUCCUUUUUACAGUUCUUAAUAACUUUAAGGCCGUUUAGAUGUCCGGAUCAGGCCAGAUAAGUUUAUACGCUCGAGCUGAGGAACAAAGAGUAAUUCAUUUGCGUUUAUGCACAUCAAUUACAAAACAAAGGCCAAACAACACAGAACACAGAACAGGUUUUCGCAGCGCGGUUUCGACAGAGAGUCGAAAGAAUUGAGAAGGGGGUGGGGUCGAAGAAGGGGGCCCUCCUUCUUCGCCCCCAGUAAAGAUUGCAAAUCCCUCAAGCCGAGGGCCUUCUCCAAAGAGACUGGGAAGAUGUCCAGUCAUAGAUCUAAGUUCAAAGUACAAAUCCCUCAUCCCGAGGGCUUCCCAAGUUCAAAAUACAAAUCCCUCAUCCUGAGGGCUUCAAACGCUACCAGGACGUCUCCUGGAGCUGCGGUCGGGAGUCCGAGCUCGUCAGCUCCUCUCGGAUCCACCAAAUACAAAUGUACACAGCUGUAUACUACAAACGCAAGCGCAAUUCACAAAACGGAUUCAGACAGACAAGACGAGACGAGACAAGACAAGACAAGACAAGACAGCGGAUCCGCACAACGCUUACCUCCCAAACGUGGGUCGGUGGUCCCUGGGCGGGGGUCUCUAUCCCGGACGAGCCCCCAAAUGAAAGACCCCCGAAGAGGCACUUUCGUAGAGGGAGACCCACACACCCAGGAAUCAGCGAGGCCACGAACUGGAUGCAAAAAACAAGAGGCUUUAUUGGAGACGCGGGUACCCGGGGCGACUUAGCCUUUGUG
RNAcentral lists this long non-coding RNA (1726 nucleotides) under Cricetulus griseus (Chinese hamster). Its description in RNAcentral is "lncRNA (ENSCGRG00015042703.1)". Lineage: Eukaryota; Metazoa; Chordata; Mammalia; Rodentia; Cricetidae. The record is from RNAcentral.